Molecule: ribosomal RNA, 1026 nt
Filed under: Triticum aestivum (bread wheat)
Lineage: Eukaryota; Viridiplantae; Streptophyta; Magnoliopsida; Poales; Poaceae
Description: partial small subunit ribosomal RNA
Source: RNAcentral
AUGCUUUCACAACUUGACUUCAAAAUAUUUGGUUUGGAGACCAUCAAAGAUCAAUAUGUGCAUGAUGCUGAUUUUAAAGAUGUAAUGCAUAAUUGUAAAGAAGGAAGAAUGUGGAACAAGUUUGUUGUUAAUGAUGGAUUUGUGUUUCGUGCUAACAAGCUAUGCAUUCCAGCUAGCUCCGUUCGUCUUUUGUUGUUGCAGGAGGCGCAUGGAGGAGGAUUAAUGGGACACUUUGGCGUGAAGAAGACGGAGGACGUACUUGCUACACAUUUCUUUUGGCCAAAGAUGAGACGGGAUGUUGAGCGGGCUGUUUUGAAGAAUAAUAAGAAAAUGUGGGAAGAAUGCUUGCCUCAUAUUGAGUUUGCUUAUAAUCGUUCAUUGCAUUCUACUACGAAGAUGUGCCCUUUUGAAAUUGUGUAUGGUUUCCUACCUCGUGCACCUAUUGAUUUGUUGCCUCUUCCAUCUUCGGAGAAGGUUAAUUUUGAUGCUAAACAACGUGCUGAAUUGAUCUUAAAAAUGCAUGAGUUAACUAAGGAAAACAUUGAGCGUAUGAAUGCUAAAUAUAAACUUGCUGGAGAUAAGGGUAGAAAACAUGUUGUGUUUGCACCUGGAGAUCUUGUUUGGUUACAUUUGCGUAAGGAUAGAUUUCCUGAUUUGCGCAAAUCAAAGCUAAUGCCACGUGCUGAUGGUCCUUUUAAGGUGUUAGAGAAAAUAAAUGAUAAUGCAUAUAAACUUGAGCUGCCUGCAGAUUUUGGGGUUAGUCCCACUUUUAACAUUGCAGAUUUGAAGCCUUAUUUGGGUGAGGAAGAUGAGCUUCCGUCGAGGACGACUUCAUUUCAAGAAGGGGAGGAUGAUGAGGACAUCAAUACCAUUGUUACACCCACAGCCCCUGCUGCUAUACAUACUGGACCAGUUACUAGAGCUCGCGCACGCCAAUUAAAUUACCAGGAAACAGACCCUCGUGGUCAGGUUGAUCGUGCUCCGGCGUGGUCGUUAACCUCUCGGAGUUGGUUUAGCGAUUGCUAA